Non-coding RNA from Epinephelus lanceolatus (giant grouper), 419 nucleotides. Lineage: Eukaryota; Metazoa; Chordata; Actinopteri; Perciformes; Serranidae. The record is from RefSeq and is a predicted model, not a curated record.
UUGACAGUGUUUGAAGAAGAUGGCGUCGAGCAGAAACGUCUGUUAGCAGAGUGUCUUUGUUGUGUUUUUAAAGUGUGAAGAUGUGUAAAGUCCAAAUGCUGAGAGCGUUGGUGAAGCAGCGACUAACUGCGGCUGCUGAAGAGAUAUUUGGGCUGUUUGAAAGAACGAUAGCAGAGUACGAGGAGCAACUUUGUCGCUCAAAAGAGGAGAACGAGCGACAACGGAAACUACUGGACGCUGUUUACAACCCUCAGCUCAGGUUACACAGAGCAGGAAUGUGUGGAGUUCUGAGUCGCAGGGUGGAUCAUUGAUCAGUCGAUCCAAUCAGAGCUGAUAUGAUCAGACCGAUGGACGAGAGGAGCAGCUGCUGCAACGACAUGCAGCAACUGUUGGUGGUUAAAGAAGAGGUUCCCCCUGAG